Molecule: long non-coding RNA, 2659 nt
Organism: Oncorhynchus tshawytscha (Chinook salmon)
Lineage: Eukaryota; Metazoa; Chordata; Actinopteri; Salmoniformes; Salmonidae
Source: Ensembl
CGCCACACAACUGCCUCAGCAAUACUGUAAUGCAUACACAGCGUUAAAUCGGAAAUGAAUGUACUUCUGGUGUUUCAAAACGGGGGAGGGGAAACCUGUUGGUGUGAUCGAGGCGUCGUCCUGGCCCGCAAGCGUUCCCGGAAGUAUCGCGAUGUUGCGUCUCUAGGUUUAGAAACCGUGCCAGUACACUGCUUACUAUCUAUGGUGGAAAACGCCGUAUUUUCGAAAUGGCAUACCUCGAGUUCAAGUUUGAGGACGAAAUUACAAAAUACAUUCGGGAACAAGAAUUGGAAACGUCACUGAAAUUCAUAACAUUGAGAAAGGACAAAAGUUUUGGGCAAAAGGAUGCACAGCCUUUGGCACGGAAAAAACUCAGCUGGGAGAGUAAAAGUAUCCCGUUCAAUGGUGUUCCGUUUCAAGUUGUUGGCACAAAGACGUAUGAAUGCCACCAGGGCAAAGACAGACAGACAAAAGCCAAAGAGAAAUAUGCUGCUGAAAGAGACAAGAAGGAACUUGAAGACCAUACCUUUCUACAGAAACGGAAACUGGUACAAAAUACCAAAAAAGUGGACUGCAAGGCUAUAAUAAACAUCGCCCACAUUAUUCGCUUUCCUGAUUUUAAGAUUGAGGAAAGUACAGUGUGCUCUAAAAAGGAGGCCUCCCAAACUCUGAAGGCAGCACUAAGUGAAACACCCAGCUCCGUGAAGGCAGAGGUUGUCUACUGCGUCAGGUUCCCCUCCCUCUCUGAGCACAGCUCACAUGCAGUUGUUGGCGAGGCAGCUCAUGUUAGGGAAGCUGUAGAUGCCAGGCUGAGAGAGAAGAUUGAGCAGCUGACUCUGUCUGGUGUGAGAAAGAUGACUGAAAUGAAGUGUCAUCUGAACACCUUUGUAGUGGAAGAGCUUUUCCAUGGAGAGCAGCCCCUCCACCUACUCGCAGGCGCUAUUACCCCACUGACAGUGACAUAAGAAAUGUCAUGUUUAAGACCAAGCGGGCCACCGGAGACUCCAACAUUGACCGUCCAUACGAAGGUCCAUCUGGAAGAGGAAAGAAGAGGUCCUCUAGGAAGCUGUUGCGGUUACGGAGGCAAUGUGCAGGAUAUCUUAAAGAGAUCACAGAACUCACUUAUCAUCUCCAAGAGGAACAGUACGUGACUGACCUGUCUUCACAGCUCAGAAGUGUGCUGCUGGAUAUGAAGGCCCAUGUUCCACAGGAUAAAGACCUUCCACUGACCUUUUCUCCAAGGAAGAGAAAAGCUGAGAUGGACAUGGACCUCAUUCCAACCAAGAGUGCAUCACACCCUUUCAUAGAUGGGUUAGAACAGCAUACAGAGGACAUAGUGAGUGUGGAUACCUUGUUGGCAUUGAGCCUAGGGCUGAGGACCGAGUGUGUGGGUCCUUCCACAAAUUGAGUAUAUUUUGGGUAGUGUAACUUUUAUUUCAACUAAUAUUAGCAUUCUGUCAACACAACUUGAUAAGGGGGGGGGGUCAAGAGGGGAGAGCAUUCUUAGUUUUGAAUGUUGUUCUGGAGGCAGCGCUGCGGAGUGCUCACUAGCUGGCACAGUCAUAAAAUCUGAUUUUAAACCUAAUUGUUAACCACACUGCUAACCCUCAUUUCUAACCUUAAAUUAGCUUUUUGAUCUUAACUUGUGUUUGUAUGAUUUCUGACAACAUACAGUGUGUUCGUUAAGUUCAGACACCUUUCCCUUUUUCCACAUUUUGUUACAUUACAACCUAAUUCUAAAAUGGAUUCAUUUGUUAUUUUCCUCAUUAAUCUACACACAAUACCCCAUGACGACAUCACAAUACCCCAUGACGACAUCACAAUACCCCAUGACGACAUCACAAUACCCCAUGACGACAUCACAAUACCCCAUGACGACAUCAAAAUACCCCAUGAUGACAUCACAAUACCCCAUGAUGACUAAGCAAAAGCAGGUCUAGAAAUGUUAGCAAUUAUUUUAAUUUUGUUAAUAAAAAUAAAAUAUUACAUUUACAUAAGUAUUCAGACCCUUUACUCAGUACUUUGUUGAAGCACCUUUGGCAGCGAUUACAGCAGACUUCUUGGGUAUGACGUUACAAGCUUGGCACACCUGUAUUUUGGCAGUUUCUCCCAUUCUGCUCAGCAGAUCCUGUUAAGCUCUGUCAGGUUUGAUGGGGAGCGUCGCUGCACAGCUAUUUUCAGGUCUCUCCAGAGAUGUUCGAUCGGAUUCAAGUCCGGGCUCUGGCUGGACCACUUAAGGACAUUCAGAGACUUGUCCUGAAGCCACUCCUAUGUUGUCUUGGCUGUGUGCUUCGGGUCGUUCUCCUGUUGGAAGGUGAACCUUCGCUCCAGUCUGAGGUCCUGAGCGCUCUAGAGCAGGUUUUCAUCAAGGAUCAAAUCAAAUGUAUUUAUAUAGCCCUUCGUACAUCAGCUGAUAUCUCAAAGUGCUGUACAGAAACCCAGCCUAAAACCCCAAACAGCAAGCAAUGCAGGUGUUGAAGCACGUUGGCUAGGAAAAACUCCCUAGAAAGGAUCUCUCUGUACUUCGCUCAGUUCAUCUUUCCCUUGAUCCUGACUAGUCUCCUAGUCCCUGCCGCUGAAAAACAUCCCCACAGCAUGAUGGUGCAAACCACCAUGCUUCACUGUAGGAAUGGUGCCGCCACCAUGCUUCACUGUAGGG